GUUGACUUGAAUUGCUUUUGUUCUGAACCUGGGGACAGGUCUGCCGGGCUCCCGUGUCCCACUGCUCCAGGGCUGCCCUCGGCCUGCUGGCUGGCGGCCGGAUCUGCUUCCCCCGGCAAGGCUGUUGGCUCUCUGUGCACACUCUGAGUGGCAGGCCUCUGUAAACUGAGCUCAACACUUGUGGGGUCCUUCUUCAACUCUAUGGGGGGCCCGUCCCCUCUGGCUACUCCAUCAAAUUUCAGAGAUCUGCUUGGCGAUUGAGUAAAUAUUACUGUUGUACACUCUUUAUCCUUCUCUUCAACUCCGUUGAAAUUCUCUCCAUUCAUGCUGACUUUUCCAUCUACCUUAAAGUUCUUUAAAACUUC
RNAcentral lists this long non-coding RNA (365 nucleotides) under Gallus gallus (chicken). The record is from RNAcentral. Lineage: Eukaryota; Metazoa; Chordata; Aves; Galliformes; Phasianidae.